This 488-nucleotide ribosomal RNA is filed under the name uncultured bacterium. RNAcentral describes it as "partial 16S ribosomal RNA". It matches the Rfam family "Bacterial small subunit ribosomal RNA", at positions 28 to 507 of the family's 1533-position model. The record is from RNAcentral.
GACGAACGCUGGCGGCGUGCUUAACACAUGCAAGUCGAACGGAAAGGCCCUGCUUUUGUGGGGUGCUCGAGUGGCGAACGGGUGAGUAACACGUGAGUAACCUGCCCUUGACUUUGGGAUAACUUCAGGAAACUGGGGCUAAUACCGGAUAGGAGCUCCUGCUGCAUGGUGGGGGUUGGAAAGUUUCGGCGGUUGGGGAUGGACUCGCGGCUUAUCGGCUUGUUGGUGGGGUAGUGGCUUACCAAGGCGUUGACGGGUAGCCGGCCUGAGAGGGUGACCGGCCACACGAGAACUGGGAGACGGUCGAGAGGCCUACGGGAGGCAGCAGGGGGGAAUAUGGGACAGUGGGCGCAAGCCUGAUCCAGCCAUGCCGGGUGGGUGAAGAAGGCCUUCGGGUGGUAAAGCCUUUUUGUUGGGAAAGAAAAGCAGAAGGUUAAUACACCGCUGUUCUGACGGUACCCAAAGAAUAAGCACCGGCUAACUUCGUG